Molecule: ribosomal RNA, 749 nt
Filed under: Solenysa yangmingshana
Lineage: Eukaryota; Metazoa; Arthropoda; Arachnida; Araneae; Linyphiidae
Description: SSU rRNA
Rfam family: Eukaryotic small subunit ribosomal RNA
Source: RNAcentral
UAAACGAUGCCAGCCAGCGAUCCGGCUGUGUUCCUCAAAUGACACGCCGGGCAGCUUCCGGGAAACCAAAGCUUUUGGGUUCCGGGGGAAGUAUGGUUGCAAAGCUGAAACUUAAAGGAAUUGACGGAGGGUCACCACCAGGCAUGGAGCUUGCGGUUCAAUUUGACUCAACGCAGCGAACUCUACCAGGCCAGGACACAGGAAGGAUUGACAGAUUGAGAGCUCUUUCUUGAUUCUGUGGGUAGUGGUGCAUGUCCGUUCUUGGUUCGUGGAGUGAUUUGUCUGGUUUAUUCUGAUAACGGACGAGGCUCUAGCCUACUAAAUAGACGCUCCGAUUCUCCUAGUCGGGCGUUUCUUCUUAGAGGGACUGGCGGCGUUUAGCCGCACGAGGCAAAGCAAUAACAGGUCUGUAAUGCCCUUAGAUGUCCUGGGCCACACGCGUGCUACAAUGAAGGAAUCAUCGUGUGCUUUCCCUGUCUGAGAGGACUGGGUAACCCGUUGAACUUCUUUCGUGCUGGGGAUAGAGAUUUGCAAUUAUCUCUCUUGAACGAGGAAUUCCUAGUAAGCGCGAGUCAUCAUCUCGCGUUGAUUAGGUCCCUGGCCCUUGUCCACACCGCCCGUCGCUAUUACCGAUUGAAUGAUUUAGUGAGGUCUUCGGACUGGCGCUCGGAUUGGCCUUCGGGUCGAGCCGACGUGCCGGAAAGAUGACCGAACUUGAUCAUUUAGAGGAAAUAAAAGUCGUAACAAGG